GUUGACUGGAAGUGACAGGCCUUCUCUUCAAAAUAAACAAGGAUGGGCCAAAACUGUAAAAUCUGGACAGAAAUUAAUACGCAAGCAUAAGAACUACAUUGUGUUUUGUAUAGAUGUGUCCCUGCUACGGAGGCACCUAACAGAAAGGGGAUAUAAUUAAGAUUGCAUUGUGGAUUUGCCCUGUGCCACCUCUAAAUGGCAGAAGAAAACUCAACUCAGCACAACCAGAAACACUUUUCUGAAGAAAAUUCUGCCAAGAGACAGUUGUGAAGGGAAUCGUGUAGAUAAUCUCCAGAAAAGAAAUCACCACUGAUAUUGGGAUGUAUGUACCAAUAUUUUAAUACAAUCAUCAAAGACAAAUUUACCACAGGAAUAAAAAUAAAACUGUCUGGUAUUCAAGGGCCUGCCAUGGUAGAAGUUCUCCUGAAGAAAAUAUUCCAUUUAUUGUGGACAUCAUGACACAGGGCUCACCUGUCAUCAGCAUUAGAGACUUGUGUGAUUUGUUCUACCUGGGCCAUACAUGUAUUGAAAGAAAACAAUUCAUAGAACCACAAGCACAUUCAUUUGUAAAUCUAUGUAAGGUCUUCUGUGUAUGUUGUAUUCCUUAUAUAAUUUGCUAUUUUAUAACAAGACUUUGUUUCAUUGGUACUAAAACUUGAUACAUGAACACAUAAAAAUCCCAAAGCAGUUGUGAUAUUUAU
This is a long non-coding RNA of Saccostrea cuccullata (small rock oyster), 701 nucleotides long. RefSeq lists it as uncharacterized. Lineage: Eukaryota; Metazoa; Mollusca; Bivalvia; Ostreida; Ostreidae. The record is from RefSeq and is a predicted model, not a curated record. The transcript has 3 exons.